GGAGAAACGGAAUACCGGAUAUCCAAUUUUGGAUAUCCGGUUAGUUGUGCGCAUGCUCACGCUCAAACCGCAACACUGAAUUCGUGCGGGCGUCAUUAGUUGCAAUCAUAAAUAAAAUCGUAGAAUUCAGUCGAAAAUUUGAUACUUUUACAUUGAAAUCAAUUGAAAAAGAUUCAUUUUCUUGUAGUUACAGAGUAAAUAUAUAUGCGGUGUAUAUAAACUAAUCAUUUUUAUGGAUUUUAUACGGUCAAGAAAUGGUAUCGAGAGACUUCGCAAGAAGGCCACUGACAGAGGUUUUGUAGAGGAUCUAGAUUAUUACAAACUAUUAGAUAUUUUUUAUAAUAUUAAAAUAUGUAGAAUGCUUUAUGGGCAACUGUGGACCUGUUAGCCUAUUUUGUUUAUUACAAUUACAUAGUGAUACUUUAAUUGGUGCAUUGUAUUGAUAUUUAAAAUAAGCAUGAAAAUACUUCCCUCUGUUAUUACUCUAGCUAUAUCAUUCCUUUGUCCUGUGAUAAGUUUGAUUUAACAUUGUGCCAGUACCGUAGCCAGAACGAUAAUUGGGGGGGGGCACAUAUUCAUAUAUUCGUGUUCUGCUUUAUUAAUUUCUUUUGAAAUCAAUUGUUUUUAUGGUAUGUGAACACGAAUAUAUGAAUAUGUGCCCCCCCCCCCAAUUAUCGUUCUGGCUACGGCACUGCAUUAUGCAUUUAUGCAUUGCAUUACAUUCAUACAAACAGUUCCAUGGUUAUAUGUAUUUAAUUUAUUUAUUAAUUGAGUCAUAAAAAAUUAUGUUGACAAUUAAUUAUUGAUGCUUGAAAAUAACUUAAUUAAAUGGAAUUAUGACACAGUGUUUGAACUUUGAAAUGUUUUUGCUGAUAUAAUAUUAUCAUUUAUCAUAACUAUUGGGUUUAACCAUAGAUGUAUGAGACCUAUCUAUGGGUUUAACAAUUAACACAGACUGAUGUCAUCAGGUUGGGUGCCUGUCUGAAAGGUGGCAGGCAAGGCAGGGUGUUGCUAAAUUGCCUAUCCAAAUACUGGGGGCACUGAUUGGGAAAUCUGCCAUUAUUGAGGUUAUGGGGUAAGCUACAUUAUCAUAUCCCUGGAAGGCAAAUCAUAACUUACACAUGCUGAUGUAUGCCUGCAACAGGUAUAUGGCCAAGUCAAGGUAACUAGCUACUAUUCCCAUUAAAUAUGUACUGUACGUUAACUAUAUAAUGUUGCAGGUGGAAUGUAAGAUGCAUGUGGGAUGACCUGCUGCCACUAUGGCAUUGUCAUAGCCAGUGGUCUAGUAGGGGAGGGGCUCAGGGGGACUUAGCCCACCCCCCUCCACCAGUUUAGGACACUUUUGGAGAAAAGGGACAAAACUACCUGGG
Molecule: non-coding RNA, 1370 nt
Organism: Paramuricea clavata
Lineage: Eukaryota; Metazoa; Cnidaria; Anthozoa; Malacalcyonacea; Plexauridae
Source: the annotation of a GenBank genome assembly